Molecule: ribosomal RNA, 468 nt
Filed under: uncultured bacterium
Lineage: Bacteria
Description: partial 16S ribosomal RNA
Rfam family: Bacterial small subunit ribosomal RNA
Source: RNAcentral
GACGAACGCUGGCGGCGUGCUUAACACAUGCAAGUCGAACGGAAAGGCCCUGCUUUUGUGGGGUGCUCGAGUGGCGAACGGGUGAGUAACACGUGAGUAACCUGCCCUUGACUUUGGGAUAACUUCAGGAAACUGGGGCUAAUACCGGAUAGGAGCUCCUGCUGCAUGGUGGGGGUUGGAAAGUUUCGGCGGUUGGGGUUGGACUCGCGGCUUAUCAGCUUGUUGGUGGGGUAGUGGCUUACCAAGGCUUUGACGGGUAGCCGGCCUGAGAGGGUGACCGGCCACAUUGGGACUGAGAUACGGCCCAGACUCCUACGGGAGGCAGCAGUGGGGAAUAUUGCACAAUGGGCGGAAGCCUGAUGCAGCAACGCCGCGUGCGGGAUGACGGCCUUCGGGUUGUAAACCGCUUUCGCCUGUGACGAAGCGUGAGUGACGGUAAUGGGUAGAGAAGCACCGGCUAACUACGUG